RNAcentral lists this ribosomal RNA (252 nucleotides) under uncultured Bacteroidales bacterium. Its description in RNAcentral is "partial 16S ribosomal RNA". It matches the Rfam family "Bacterial small subunit ribosomal RNA", at positions 524 to 776 of the family's 1533-position model. The record is from RNAcentral. Lineage: Bacteria; Pseudomonadati; Bacteroidota; Bacteroidia; Bacteroidales.
UACGUAGGGGGCAAGCGUUAUCCGGAUUUAUUGGGUUUAAAGGGUGCGUAGGCGGCGAGUUAAGUCAGCGGUAAAAUGUCCGGGCUCAACCCGGGCCGGCCGUUGAAACUGGGGAUCUUGAGUGGGCGAGAAGUAUGCGGAAUGCGUGGUGUAGCGGUGAAAUGCAUAGAUAUCACGCAGAACUCCGAUUGCGAAGGCAGCGUACCGGCGCCCAACUGACGCUGAAGCACGAAGGCGUGGGUAUCGAACAGG